GAUGAAGAACGUAGCGAAAUGCGAUAAGUAAUGUGAAUUGCAGAAUUCAGUGAAUCAUCGAAUCUUUGAACGCACAUUGCGCCCGUCAGUAUUCUGGCGGGCAUGCCUGUUCGAGCGUCAUUACGCCCCUCAAGUCCCCUGUGGACUUGGUUUUGGGGAUCGGCGAGGCUGGUUUUCCAGCACAGCCGUCCCUUAAAUUAAUUGGCGGUCUCGCCGUGGCCCUCCUCUGCGCAGUAGUAAAACACUCGCAACAGGAGCCCGGCGCGGUCCACUGCCGUAAAACCCCCCAACUUUUUAUAGUUGACCUCGAAUCAGGUAGGACUACCCGCUGAACUUAAGCAUAUCAAUAAGCGGAGGA
Molecule: unclassified non-coding RNA, 358 nt
Filed under: soil metagenome
Description: partial contains 5.8S ribosomal RNA, internal transcribed spacer 2, and large subunit ribosomal RNA
Rfam family: 5.8S ribosomal RNA (bases 1-120)
Source: RNAcentral